AACGAACGCUGGCGGCAGGCCUAACACAUGCAAGUCGAGCGAGACCUUCGGGUCUAGCGGCGGACGGGUGAGUAACGCGUGGGAACGUGCCCUUUUCUACGGAAUAGCCUCGGGAAACUGAGCGUAAUACCGUAUACGCCCUUGGGGGAAAGAUUUAUCGGAGAAGGAUCGGCCCGCGUUGGAUUAGGUAGUUGGUGGGGUAAUGGCCUACCAAGCCUACGAUCCAUAGCUGGUUUGAGAGGAUGAUCAGCCACACUGGGACUGAGACACGGCCCAGACUCCUACGGGAGGCAGCAGUGGGGAAUCUUAGACAAUGGGGGCAACCCUGAUCUAGCCAUGCCGCGUGAGUGAUGAAGGCCUUAGGGUUGUAAAGCUCUUUCAGCUGGGAAGAUAAUGACGGUACCAGCAGAAGAAGCCCCGGCUAACUCCGUG
This 432-nucleotide ribosomal RNA is filed under the name uncultured bacterium. Its description in RNAcentral is "partial 16S ribosomal RNA". It matches the Rfam family "Bacterial small subunit ribosomal RNA", at positions 29 to 507 of the family's 1533-position model. The record is from RNAcentral.